AUUGGGAAAUGUAUGCCGAAAGUUUAAGGUAAUGUGUGCUUGCAAGUAGAUGAGUGGUUUGUUGAUGGAGUAGCCUUUGGGCUAUAUGUGUUUGGUUGAGAGUUUCAUAGGAGAGUGAGUGCAUUGGGUGGAGCAGGUAUAAGGUUUUAAUGGUGGAUUCUGUAUAAGGUUGAAUUAAAGUGGUUGGCAUUUUUAUAAUGUGGAUCAUUCAACUUCGACUGCAUGCCUUCAAUGUUUGCAAUAAAUAAUCAAUUUUCA
RNAcentral lists this long non-coding RNA (258 nucleotides) under Phaseolus vulgaris (common bean). RNAcentral describes it as "long non-coding RNA (PVUL_LNC005196)". The record is from RNAcentral. Lineage: Eukaryota; Viridiplantae; Streptophyta; Magnoliopsida; Fabales; Fabaceae.